UUAUAGUUUAAUUAGAAAAUAAUUAUAUAUUUCUUCCGUCUCAUAAAGGUGUUCUUUUUUUUUAUUUGUCUCAAAUUAUUUGUUUAUUUAAAAUAUGAAUGUGAUAUUUAUUUUUUUCCAUUAAUUUACUCUUAUUUAUUGUAUUUGAAAUUAUAUAAUUACUUCAUUAUCUAUUAUUAAUAAGGUUUUUUUAAUAAAUGGUAUCCGUUUUAUCAUUAAAAUUAAUAUAAUUAAUUAUUAUUUUAAAAAAU
Molecule: long non-coding RNA, 251 nt
Filed under: Lathyrus oleraceus (garden pea)
Lineage: Eukaryota; Viridiplantae; Streptophyta; Magnoliopsida; Fabales; Fabaceae
Description: Pisum sativum (pea) long non-coding RNA (PSAT_LNC008612)
Source: RNAcentral